Long non-coding RNA from Myotis brandtii (Brandt's bat), 529 nucleotides. RefSeq lists it as uncharacterized. The transcript is spliced from 3 exons. NCBI's taxonomy places the organism in Eukaryota, Metazoa, Chordata, Mammalia, Chiroptera, Vespertilionidae. The record is from RefSeq and is a predicted model, not a curated record.
CUCAAGUCGUUACCCAUGGGUCUGGGCCUCCACGUGGCUGCCACCCAGCACUCCGGGUGAGAAGGGAGGCCUCCUGUCAGGCCCACCCUCUGCGUUCCCUCCCAGCAAGGACAGCAGCGUCUCUAACCCAGAGACGCUUGUCUGGGCCGAAGGGGCGGCUGCCUCAUCCCCGGACCCCAGGCCUGGACCUGCAGGCGUCGCCACGGGAAAGGAAGGAGACCUUCUUCCAGUUCAAGGGCGACUGCUUCCCAGGACGGCUGCUGACAGAGCUCCACUUCACCAAUAAGAGACCUGCCCGGCCGCUGUAACUCCGAGUAUUCUCGGGUGAAGAUUAAGGAAAAAUAUGUACGCUGACCUCAAAAACGCGGACAAGUCACCUGACAAAGAGGCAUCGACACUUCCGGUUGUAAGAAGCGGCCAGUGCUCUAGGGAAGAGGACGCACUGGUAACCCCAGAACAGACGUCCCUCCAAACCCGAGACGCCUCCUGGGCCACAUAGGCAGAGACACGGCAGGUCGGGCCUCUACCC